Molecule: long non-coding RNA, 467 nt
Organism: Chiroxiphia lanceolata (lance-tailed manakin)
Lineage: Eukaryota; Metazoa; Chordata; Aves; Passeriformes; Pipridae
Exons: 2
Source: RefSeq, a predicted model, not a curated record
CUCCAUGAAGUUGUUUGAAACAUCCACAACCAGCUAGAUAAUGAAUCUGUAGAUGGCUAAAGUUAGAAAGAAGCAGCUCGGUCUCUAAACCCUGUACUUUAUUGCUGUUCUGCAGCAAUUUUUUAUUUUUACUCCUGAUGGCAUUGUAUUGUCCCCUUUCCUUCUGCAGGAAAAGAAAGUCAUGAUGUCACAGUAACUGUCAGCCUGAACGCUAUUCAGAAGGUGGGGUAUAUCCCUGCAGCAGGCUAAAUCAAGGGGUCAGAUUACUUGCAAGGAAAGCAGUGUAAGUGAAGAUCAUAUCCCAGAGAAGCUGUGGAUGCCUCAUGUGUGGAAGUGCUCAAGGCCAGGUUGGAUGGGCUUUGAACAACCUGGUCUAGUGGAAGAUUAAAGGCUGGAGGAGGAAUUGAGGGAUAAGAGGAAUGAAAACAAGAUGCAGUUCCUUUCUACUCAACAAAUAACCAUACUCU